ACGCUGGCGGCAUGCCUAACACAUGCAAGUCGAACGAAGGCUUCGGCCUUAGUGGCGCACGGGUGCGUAACGCGUGGGAAUCUGCCCCUUGGUUCGGAAUAACAGUUGGAAACGACUGCUAAUACCGGAUGAUGACGUAAGUCCAAAGAUUUAUCGCCGAGGGAUGAGCCCGCGUAGGAUUAGGUAGUUGGUGUGGUAAAGGCGCACCAAGCCGACGAUCCUUAGCUGGUCUGAGAGGAUGAUCAGCCACACUGGGACUGAGACACGGCCCAGACUCCUACGGGAGGCAGCAGUGGGGAAUAUUGGACAAUGGGCGAAAGCCUGAUCCAGCAAUGCCGCGUGAGUGAUGAAGGCCUUAGGGUUGUAAAGCUCUUUUACCCGGGAUGAUAAUGACAGUACCGGGAGAAUAAGCUCCGGCUAACUCCGUGCCAGCAGCCGCGGUAAUACGGAGGGAGCUAGCGUUAUUCGGAAUUACUGGGCGUAAAGCGCACGUAGGCGGCUUUGUAAGUAAGAGGUGAAAGCCCAGAGCUCAACUCUGGAAUUGCCUUUUAGACUGCAUCGCUUGAAUCAUGGAGAGGUCAGUGGAAUUCCGAGUGUAGAGGUGAAAUUCGUAGAUAUUCGGAAGAACGCCAGUGGCGAAGGCGGCUGACUGGACAUGUAUUGACGCUGAGGUGCGAAAGCGUGGGGAGCAAAC
Molecule: ribosomal RNA, 694 nt
Filed under: uncultured bacterium
Lineage: Bacteria
Description: bacterial SSU rRNA
Rfam family: Bacterial small subunit ribosomal RNA
Source: RNAcentral